AGAGACAGCAGUAGCCACGGUAAUACGUAGGUGGCAAGCGUUGUCCGGAAUGAUUGGGCGUAAAGGGCGCGCAGGCGGCUGUGUAAGUCUGUCUAGAAAGUGCGGGGCUAAACCCCGUGAGAGGAUGGAAACUGGACAGCUGAGAGUGUCGGAGAGGAAAGCGGAAUUCCUAGUGUAGCGGUGAAAUGCGUAGAUAUUAGGAGGAACACCGGUGGCGAAAGCGGCUUUCUGGACGACAACUGACGCUGAGGCGCGAAAGCCAGGGGAGCAAACGGGAUUAGAUACCCCUGUGUCCCUGUCUCUUAUACA
This 309-nucleotide ribosomal RNA is filed under the name uncultured bacterium. RNAcentral describes it as "partial 16S ribosomal RNA". It matches the Rfam family "Bacterial small subunit ribosomal RNA", at positions 504 to 809 of the family's 1533-position model. The record is from RNAcentral.